This 26-nucleotide non-coding RNA is filed under the name Homo sapiens (human). Lineage: Eukaryota; Metazoa; Chordata; Mammalia; Primates; Hominidae. The record is from RNAcentral.
UCUGUGGGUUUGUGAUGAGGCUGGAG